CGCUUGAACGUAGACAUGCGAUAAGACAUCUCAGUGAUAAAAGUUUAAACGCUGCGUUCACUUUGGUAUCCCGUCGAGUGCAGUAGCGCAGUGUGAAAGACGAAGAAAAAGACGAAAAAUAAAAAGAAGAAAAAAAAGUUCUUCCUUACAUGGAUUUUUAAUGGGGAAAUGGUGGUCGCGUGCCAAAGUUAAUACUUGCUUGAGUAUCAAGAAGUGUUAGUAUAUUUGAACGAUACACCUGUCCACCAUCUUGGUCAGCCGAUCUUAAAGUACAAGGAACAAGGCCCAACGAUGAGGGCUCAACUAAAGAUUGCCGUCAGCUGACAAGAUGAGAACAAGCCGAGAAACAGGAAAAGACCUUCUUCUUUGAGAUAUUACUUUUAAGAGAAGUGAGAAGAAACGUUUUGAGGAAUUUUUCAUUCAACUUCACGGGAAUUAAAGGGAAGAGAGAAAGAGAAAGAGACACCACCGAACUUAAGGUGUUUCGUAAUUUUACGAAAAUUAUGGAUACACCUAACCUUCCUUUUUACUUUGAAAAGUAAAUGUAUUCGUCAUUUUGAAGAUUUGUAGAGACAUCUAACCUUACUUGUUAGUUCGAAAGUUAAACUACAGUCGUGAAACGCAGGAAGAUUUCUCUGGAACAAAUAAAAGUUAGAAAGGCCAUGGAAUUUCUAUGGGAGAUUAUUAUGACAUCAAACUUUACUUUUUACUUUGAAAAUUAAACAUUUACAAGUUUACGUUAGGUUUGGUUUGGUUUGUUCGCGAAUUUGAGAAUCUUUGGUUAUGCAAUAAAUUGAGGUUAUUACUUUAGAUUAAGUUAGAUUACGAAUUGAAGAAUUUUGUGUGAGAUUACAAUUCUUUUUUUUUUAUGAACAAACAUAUUACAAAACCGAUCAAUCAUUGAAGAAAAUUCUACGUAGUAAUCAUUGAUUAAAAUUUAAGAAUUGUUAAAAUAUGUAAUACUGAUUAAAUACAACAAUGUAAAAUAAAAAAAAAUAAAA
Vespula vulgaris is the source of this 1001-nucleotide long non-coding RNA. RefSeq lists it as uncharacterized. Lineage: Eukaryota; Metazoa; Arthropoda; Insecta; Hymenoptera; Vespidae. The transcript has 2 exons. The record is from RefSeq and is a predicted model, not a curated record.